This 244-nucleotide long non-coding RNA is filed under the name Lathyrus oleraceus (garden pea). RNAcentral's name for it is "Pisum sativum (pea) long non-coding RNA (PSAT_LNC017730)". The record is from RNAcentral. Lineage: Eukaryota; Viridiplantae; Streptophyta; Magnoliopsida; Fabales; Fabaceae.
UAAGAUAUCAAUUUAUAUAACAUAAAUAACCCAUUUUCACAACCUUUAACCUCUCCAAAACGCACAGCACGACUCCAAAACCGCACAACUCUCACCCAAACACCGGAAACCUAUUCGCGCGAAUCUUCCCCUUCUUCGCUCGUAAUGGCUCGACGGUUCACCGACAAACGCCUAGUUCAUCUCCUUAGAAUCUGACUACAUCUUUAUGGAUGAUAUAUUCAUUUGCAAGUUUGACACAAAUCGG